This 17-nucleotide microRNA is filed under the name Corchorus capsularis. RNAcentral describes it as "sRNA CCACVL1_28561". The record is from RNAcentral. Lineage: Eukaryota; Viridiplantae; Streptophyta; Magnoliopsida; Malvales; Malvaceae.
AGGGUGUUUGUGUCUUU